CUCAGUUCGGAUUGUAGUCUGCAACUCGACUACAUGAAGCUGGAAUCGCUAGUAAUCGCAGAUCAGAAUGCUGCGGUGAAUACGUUCCCGGGUCUUGUACACACCGCCCGUCACACCAUGGGAGUCGGAAAUGCCCGAAGCCGGUGACCAAACCAAUAAGGAAGGAGCCGUCGAAGGCAGGUCUGAUAACUGGGGUGAAGUCGUAACAAGGUACC
Molecule: ribosomal RNA, 215 nt
Filed under: uncultured bacterium
Lineage: Bacteria
Description: partial 16S ribosomal RNA
Rfam family: Bacterial small subunit ribosomal RNA
Source: RNAcentral